RNAcentral lists this long non-coding RNA (370 nucleotides) under Citrus sinensis (sweet orange). RNAcentral describes it as "long non-coding RNA (CSIN_LNC002324)". Lineage: Eukaryota; Viridiplantae; Streptophyta; Magnoliopsida; Sapindales; Rutaceae. The record is from RNAcentral.
UUAUGUUUUGACUUCUGUAUAGACUCUUCCUGAGCGCUCAGAGUUUAACCUGUUUUUGUUGGAGAAAUGGCCAAAUUGUUUCUGUUAUACUAAAUAACUUGAGUUAAUCCACAUUUGGUCUUCCAUUUUAUGUAUUGGAACCUACAGGACUUUACUCUGCUAACUAAUGAGUGCUAAGGGUAUUUUGCAUGUUGAAGAACCAACCUACCAGACUUGAAGUUGAGAUCCUAUUUUCAAGUCAUUUGUGUGGUUGACAUUAGUAUUUUGCAUGUUGAAGAACCAACCUACCAGACUUGGAGUUGAGAUCCUAUUUUCAUGUCAUUUGUGUGGUUGACAUUAGCAUUUUCCUUCAUAGAUGAAUUGAUAUUCU